RNAcentral lists this long non-coding RNA (1760 nucleotides) under Capsicum annuum. RNAcentral's name for it is "long non-coding RNA (CANN_LNC014049)". Lineage: Eukaryota; Viridiplantae; Streptophyta; Magnoliopsida; Solanales; Solanaceae. The record is from RNAcentral.
UUUCUUAUGUUUUUUAAACAAAAAAUAAUACAUGUAGUUAGUUAAAAGUCAUUGUUGUCAAUAAAACAUCACGCAUAUUAAUAUUGUAUAAUAGUAUAUCAUACAUUAUAUAUAUAUAUAUGAAAGUUUAAUGUAUAUAAUUGUGUAAUACACAUUACGUUUCAACAACUAUUUACUAUAAUAGUUGCCAAAUUACAUAGUAUAUACACACCCACAAUAUUUGUAUAAGGAGUAUGAAUAAGGAUAAGACGCCUUCAACACCCACUUCUCAUAUAAGCAUUAAUUUUCGAUUCAUUCCUAGAAGACGUCCUCAACACCCACUUGCAGUCUUUGUUACGACAAAUCAGUACAUAGCUGCAUAAAUUUUUUUAAACCGAGUCAGUGGAUUAAACAAACAUGUUAAAAAUAAUAAAACAAAAAAAAUGCAAUUUCUGUCACUGCGGCAAUUUUCAUUAUACACAUAAAUGAAUGUAUAAUCAAAUAUUAUACAUUCGAAUGUUUACUGGAUUGGUACAAUUUUCAUUACACAAUGAUUUGAAUGUAUAACAACAUAUUAUACAUUCGUAAGUUAACUGGAAUGACACAGUUUUAUAUUAUAUAUCGGCUUUAAUGUAUGCUAACAUAUUAUACAAAAAGGAAGCAAAUGUAAUAAUGAAAAGUUAGAACAAACACUUCUUCAAAACCUCAAAGAACAUUAUACACUGACAGGCAAGUAUAAUAAAAUAUUAUACAUUCGUAUAUUUAGCAGGAACAGCAACAAACGAACCAACUUUAGAACAAACACUUCUUCAAAACAUCAAAGAGCAAAUUACCAUAGAAUAUAAGCUUAGCAAAUAGAAUUGAUCAUGAACAUCAAAGUUAGACUCCUCAACAUCAAUCUCCUCAUCACUAUAAUCAUUAUCCACCACAGAAUUCGGCUCAAUCUGAUUCUGUGAGGCAACUACUUCCAUUCCCACUUCCUUUAGCGGAGCAAAAAAGAAAUAAAGAUCGCCACAGAACUCCAUUUUCACAAACAUCAUCAUCUUGAAAGCAAGUCAAUAACACCGAAAAAUGAAGCAGGACUAAGCAGCUAAUACACAAAAUCCACAGAUUAUUCUAUCUUCUUCCAAUAUUCAGAGCAGAAUUUAUUGAAAUCUAUCCAAUUACAUGAGUCUCCAAAUAGGUAAAUAAGUAAAUCUAACUAAAUAUUUCUAAAACUAAAAUAACACAAAAUAAUAAAAAAUGGAGUUCAAUCAAAUCUGCAAGAACACACCAAUCAUCAAAAGAAGAUCCAAGAACUUGGCAUAUUUUUCUAGAUCUAAAAUAUCAAAUUAAUGUAACUUACCUAACUAUAUGACUAAUUCAACAAAAGUGAAAAAAAUAAAAAUCAUAUAUUCAACAAAAUCAAGAACAGAAAACACAUAAAAAUUCAAUCUUGAAGCAAAAGCUCAAAUAUUUACAUCAAAUUUAAAGAUCAAACACAAUUAUUUUAAUAACAGAAUAAACCCCAUAUGAAAAACCAACACCAAAUCUCAGCAAAGAUCUCAACAUUACCAUAGAAAAAUAAAUAUUUUCAAGAAAUAAUUGUACAGAGAAGGAAGAAGAAUACCUCAAAAAUAUUGUACUACUUUUUUUGCCAAAAUCAGUGUUUCACAUGUGUAAUGAUUAAAAGAGAGAAAGUUAAAAGAAAAGGGAUCUAUGUGGGAGCAUAUGGGGGAGUAAAUUACAAUAGAGAUAUUGGAAUUGUGAGAUGUAUAAUGUUUAAGAGAGAGAAAGUUGAA